RNAcentral lists this long non-coding RNA (1773 nucleotides) under Macaca fascicularis (crab-eating macaque). RNAcentral describes it as "lncRNA (ENSMFAG00000060165.1)". The record is from RNAcentral. Lineage: Eukaryota; Metazoa; Chordata; Mammalia; Primates; Cercopithecidae.
UUUUUUUUUUUUUUUUUCUUUUUUACUAAUGAUCAAGAUCUUAAUAAAAUAGCCAAAGUACAAAUGUGUAUAUUACAUCAGGUGUUCUAUAUUUUUUUUCUCCUGAAAACAAUGAUCUGCCUCUAUUCCAACGCCCCCCUCCCUAAGACUGAUAAGCAGGUUCUUCAAAAGAACAUUCUCAGCUGGGAGCUGUGGCUGACGCCUGAAUCCCGCACUUUGGGAGGCUGAGGCGGGUGGAUCACCUGAGGUCAGGAGUUCGAGACCAGCCUGGCCAACAUGGUGAAACUGUCUCUACUAAAAAUACAAAAAUUAGCAGGGCGUGAUGGUGCAUGCCUGUAGUCCCAACUACUUGGGACGCUGAGGCAGGAGAAUAGCUCAAACCCGGGAGGCGGAGGUUGUGGUGAGCUGAGACUGUGCUACUGCACUCCAGCCUGGGUGAGACAGUGAAACUCUGAUCCAAAAAAAAAAGGAACAUUCUCUCCAGAUUAAUGCAAAGACAUAGAAAUAGCAUCAUAUAAUACACAUCAUUCUACAACAUCCUUGUUAAACUUUACAAUGUCAUAGGCACCCCUCUAUCUAGUUUAUCAUUUUUCACAGCUGCAUAUUAUUCCUUAAUACAGAUGUACCUUAAUUUACUCAGCCCAUCUGUGGACAUUAAGGUGGCUUCCAGUGUUUGUCAUAACAAAGACACCUGUAAUAAACACCAGCACACCUAUAUCCUGACAUACUGCUGCUUUUAUUUCUGUAUGAUAAAUUUCCAAAAAAAAUGAAAUUACAGAGUCAGAGAGUAUAUGUCAUUGUUAUGGACUGAAUGUUUGUGUCUUCCCAAAACCCAUCUGUUGAAGCCCUAACCCCAGUGUUUACUAGGUGGGAUCUUUGGGAGGUGACUGGGUUGUGAUGAGGUCCUGGGGAUGGGGUCUCCAUGAUGGGAUGAGUGCUCUUAGAAGGAGAGAGGCCAGAGCUUCUCUCUCUCUGCCAUGUGAGGACACGAGGAGAAGGCUGCUGUCUGCAAGCCAGCAAGCAGGUCUUCACUGGAGACCCAAAUCAGCCCACACCUUGAUCUUAGACUUACCAGCCUCCAGAACUGUGAGAGAGAAAUUCCUGUUGUUCACGCCAUUCCUAUUGUUUUAAGUUUAAGCCACUCAGUCUGUGGUAUUUUGUUGCAGCAGCACAAGCUAACUGAGAUAGUCAUUAUAGCCCCAAGAGAUUGAUUAUUUGACCACUUUUGAAUUCUAUAAAGUCAGUUUUGGAGUUAUAUUUAAAAAUUAAGCUAGGACCCAUGUCUUCCCAUGUUUAUAUAAGAUAACUCAGUAAAUUACCCAACAGCUUAAGAAAAGAAAAGAAAAAUUCUAAGGGGCACCCAGGCAAAAGGCAUAAUUUCAGCAAUGACAAAAUGAGGCAUUUGUUGACCAAAGUGAGGACUCCCAAUCAGUGUGUCCACACCGUAUGUCUUUUCAUGAUAACAUUCCAAAGGAUUUCUCAAUUUUGGAGAAAUUUUUGAAAAUACUAACAUAAAAUUCAUCAAAUACACCAUAAAUUCACCUUUUGGUCAUAGAUUGGAGAGGAACGUGGUCCUGGGAACCAAUGUUGGCUUCCGAUUCCACCUGCACACACUCUUGAGCGGCCAUUCCCUAUCUGGCUCAUUUCCUCGCCUGGGACUUGGGGCGAUAAUACUGAUUGUGGUAGCCAGCCUCAAGGAUGGCCCCCAGCAAUCAUCACCUUUUGGAAUUCAUACCUUUGCAUGGUCCUUUACGUGCUGAUUCAGAGAUGACC